GAGUUUGAUUCUGGCUCAGAACGAACGCUGGCGGUGCGUUUUAAGCAUGCAAGUCGAACGGUAAAAAGAGAGCUUGCUCUCUUUGAGAGUGGCGGACUGGUGAGUAACGCGUGGAUGAUCUACCUUUGAGAUGGGGAUAGCUUCUAGAAAUAGGAGAUAAUACCGAAUAACCUUGUUGUGUUUUGAUGUAACAAGAAAAGGAGCGUCAGCUCCGCUCGAAGAUGAGUCUGCGUCCCAUUAGCUAGUUGGUAGGGUAAAGGCUUACCAAGGCGACGAUGGGUAUCCGGCCUGAGAGGGUGAACGGACACAUUGGGACUGAGAUACGGCCCAAACUCCUACGGGAGGCAGCAGCUGAGAAUCUUCCGCAAUGGACGAGAGUCUGACGGAGCGACACCGCGUGAACGAUGAAGGCCGGAAGGUUGUAAAGUUCUUUUGCAGACAAAGAAUAAGGAUAGAAGGAAAUGACUAUCUGAUGA
Molecule: ribosomal RNA, 476 nt
Filed under: Treponema sp. canine oral taxon 201
Lineage: Bacteria; Pseudomonadati; Spirochaetota; Spirochaetia; Treponematales; Treponemataceae
Description: bacterial SSU rRNA
Rfam family: Bacterial small subunit ribosomal RNA
Source: RNAcentral